This 73-nucleotide transfer RNA is filed under the name Stegodyphus mimosarum. It matches the Rfam family "tRNA". From Rfam's summary of the family: Transfer RNA (tRNA) molecules are approximately 80 nucleotides in length. Their secondary structure includes four short double-helical elements and three loops (D, anti-codon, and T loops). Further hydrogen bonds mediate the characteristic L-shaped molecular structure. tRNAs have two regions of fundamental functional importance: the anti-codon, which is responsible for specific mRNA codon recognition, and the 3' end, to which the tRNAs corresponding amino acid is attached (by aminoacyl-tRNA synthetases). tRNAs cope with the degeneracy of the genetic code in two manners: having more than one tRNA (with a specific anti-codon) for a particular amino acid; and 'wobble' base-pairing, i.e. permitting non-standard base-pairing at the 3rd anti-codon position. Lineage: Eukaryota; Metazoa; Arthropoda; Arachnida; Araneae; Eresidae. The record is from Rfam by way of RNAcentral.
GCUUUCGUGGUGUAGUGGUCAGCACGCUCGACACGUAUGCGAGAGGUCCGUGGUUCGAGUCCCGGCGAGGGCA